CCUACGGGGGGCAGCAGUGAGGAAUAUUGGUCAAUGGCCGUAAGGCUGAACCAGCCAAGUCGCGUGAAGGAAGAAGGCUCUAUGGGUUGUAAACUUCUUUUAUAGGGGAAUAAAGGUAGCCACGUGUGGAGAUUUGCAUGUACCCUAUGAAUAAGCAUCGGCUAACUCCGUGCCAGCAGCCGCGGUAAUACGGAGGAUGCGGGCGUUAUCCGGAUUUAUUGGGUUGAAAGGGUGCGUAGGAUGUUUUUUAAGUCAGCGGUGAAAGUUUGUGGCUCCACCAUACAAUUGCCGUUGAAACUGGCAUACUUGAGUGUGUUUCAGGUAGGCGGAAUUCGUGUUGUAGCGGUGACAUGCUUAGAUAUCACGCAGAACUCCGAUUGCGAAGGCAGCUUACUACGCCAUAACUGACACUGCAGCUCGAAAGCGUGGGUAUCGAACAGGAUUAGAUACCCUGGUAGUC
RNAcentral lists this ribosomal RNA (460 nucleotides) under uncultured bacterium. RNAcentral's name for it is "partial 16S ribosomal RNA". It matches the Rfam family "Bacterial small subunit ribosomal RNA", at positions 338 to 795 of the family's 1533-position model. The record is from RNAcentral.